ACUUCUCACUUGUGCUGCAAACCUUCCUUUUAUAUUUCUAUAAAACUGAACAAAUGACUGCUACUUAUGUUUUGCUCAUCAACUUGUAAGUGAAGGCCAUUUAAGACAGAAAUGUAGGAUUUAGCUCCAGCUGCUGCUCUAAUGUUGCAGAAAGCUUUUGCUGCAGUUCAUUAAAUUCAACUUCAGGCAGUCACAAAACUGCCAGCUAAUUAUUCUUUUCUUUCCUUGGCUGAGUGAAUCCUGGUGUCACCAAUUUCCCCUCACAAAAUGGAGCUACAGAAUUCUUCACUGUGAAGAUUGAAGAAACAAAGCAGUAAGGAAGACACCAACAUUAUUUUGUUAAAAACAGAUAUCUUAAGGAGCAGCACUGGAAGGAGUUAAGAAGCUGAGAAUUAAGUCACAUUUUGACAUGUAUAGGACUCAGAAAAGAUGCCUGUUUACAAAAGGAUGUAAACAUCACCAGGAUGUUCCCACAGGAAAUGCCCUCCACAGCCAAGGGAGGUUUUAGGUGGGAAUUGAAGGCCCAUGCUUCUCUGGUUUUUCUGUGGAUUCCAGCAGGAGAAAAGGUAGGUAGGAAUUACUUGUGAAAAUCCUGAAAUGCCUUGAAAAUCAGAAUUGUGUGCUCUCAAAAUUGUGUUUAAAUAUUUUAGGGGUUAGCUUGGAAAGGUUACUGGGGAGGUAAUAGCUACUGAAACAGGAAAAAACCCCUUGAUAUGGUUUGAAAAUUACACAGCAGAACUGGACAUGAAAAUAAUUGAGUUUUGGAGAGCACACAAAUUGAAUAUGAGCAAUUAUGAAAAAAGUGCAAAGUGAUGUCUUUUGUUCUUUUUCUUCUUGUGUAGGGACAGCAACAGAUCCAGCUUGACUUGAAGUGAAUAGACUUCUUUUAGUAAGAUUUUGAUUGACCCCUUAUUUUCUACAGAACAGUUGUUUUUUCUGAUAUAAAAGUGGCAAGGAAGAAAAGGUUAUUUUUUAAAAUUUCAUUUAUUGGGUAUUUAUCAGUCAACAAAAUAUGUUUUGUAAAUUUCCAGGUCAACUAGGAUAGUAACAACAGACUUGAUUGUUACCAUAGCAUCAGAAACUUUUUUUCUUUUUAAAUAGAAAGACAAGAAUGUGUUUGCUAAUGCCUUUCAGAAAAAAGAAGAGACUAUUUAAAAGGUGGUCAUAUUUUAGGGAUCUGGCUUUUAUUGUUACUCUAUCCCAGCAUAGGAUACUAUAUUUAUUAAAAAAAAGACGUUAAAUGAUUUUGUGUUUAUAUUUAUUGUCAGCAAUAUGUCAGUUAUGUAAAAAUAACCCAGAUGAAAAUGUAAGACUUGUUACAUUUUCCCAUCAUCUGUAUUAACUGAAUAAAGCUUAGUGACAAUAUACACAAAUUUGCAGUAGUAGUAGUAGUACAUAAACAUUUUGUGCAUUAAAAAAGAAAUCUACAUAAUUUAAAAAAUAAAAAUGCAUUACACAAUUUACAAAUUAACAUUAAACAAAAAAAAAGUAAACAUUCCUCAGACAGCUGCCUCCUCGUUCUACAAAAUAAAUAUUCAAGUAAAUUAAGUUAGGCAAAAUAAACUCUUAAUUCUUAACAAUUUACAUAAAGGUAAAAAGACAGAUUUCCAUUUAAUUCAAGGUAUAUUUUACAGUGAUUUACACAUAGACUUUUUAAAUUGCUCCCUUCAAAUUGUAAGAUUGGAAAAAAAACUUUAUUACAUUUUGGCAGGAGGAAGGGGGUUUCAAAAUUGAUGCUUUAUACCAAAUAUAAACAGGCUUGUGCAGUUGCAUCAAAGCUUCAAAAAGGAACUGGUCCAGGACUCAAAGCAGACACAGUAAGCUAGAAACUACAGUUUUAAAAAGAAAAAUAUAAACCACCACAUCAACAGGAAAAUACCUACUUUGCUAUCUUCUGAAUGGUUUAUUUGAUCACUGGAAACAUUACUUUCACAAACUAAUAAUCUACAGUAGUGGCUGCUUUAGGCACUGGAUUUGUAGAAGCACUGAUUUUUAAUGCAAAUUGCUUUUCUUCUAUACUGAUAAUUCACAUAUUAUUUACUUCAAUUUCAAUGCUAGAGGGCUUAAUCACCUUUGCAACAUUGAGAUUUACAUAAAAUUUCAGCCUUCCUUACAGCCUAGUAUUUUUUUCUUGAUAAUGAGGGAAGCCACUCUGGCUUCAAAUUUCCAUGCACUUUGUUCAUAGAAAAAAAAAAA
Molecule: long non-coding RNA, 2196 nt
Organism: Zonotrichia albicollis (white-throated sparrow)
Lineage: Eukaryota; Metazoa; Chordata; Aves; Passeriformes; Passerellidae
Source: RefSeq, a predicted model, not a curated record